This 460-nucleotide ribosomal RNA is filed under the name uncultured bacterium. RNAcentral's name for it is "partial 16S ribosomal RNA". It matches the Rfam family "Bacterial small subunit ribosomal RNA", at positions 338 to 795 of the family's 1533-position model. The record is from RNAcentral.
CCUACGGGAGGCAGCAGUGAGGAAUAUUGGUCAAUGGGCGCAAGCCUGAACCAGCCAAGUCGCGUGAAGGAUGAAGGCCCUAUGGUUUGUAAACUUCUUUUAUAUGGGAAUAAAGUGCAGUAUGUAUACUGCUUUGCAUGUACCUUAUGAAUAAGGAUCGGCUAACUCCGUGCCAGCAGCCGCGGUAAUACGGAGGAUCCGAGCGUUAUCCGGAUUUAUUGGGUUUAAAGGGAGCGUAGGCGGGUUGUUAAGUCAGUGGGGAAAGUCUGCGGCUCAACCGUAGAAUUGCAGUUGAUACUGGGAGGCUUGAGUAAGGUAGAGGCAGGCGGAAUGCGUGGUGUAGCAGUGAAAUGCAUAGAUAUCACGAAGAACGCCGAUGGCGAAGGCAGCCUGCUGGACCGUAACUGACGCUGAUGCACGAAAGCGUGGGGAUCAAACAGGAUUAGAUACCCUUGUAGUC